AGCUGAGUUCACUCCAUCUGAAUAGACCCUUACUUUCCCGUUUUUCCUCACCAUCACUCAUUUAGCUCUUUCUCUCUUCCUACUCUUUUUCUCUUUCCUCGUCUAUUUUGAGAAGUGUCCCAUUUCCUUUGUUUUGCUGUUCUACUUCAUCUCUGAGUUUCCUCCGAACAUUUACUUCUAUGGUUUUAUGAAAGAAAUUAUAAUUCAAAAUUUGGGUUUUAUUGUUUUUUUCGGGGAGAAGGGUUUGAUCUUUUGCUUAUUUUGUUGUGAAUUUCCUCUCUUAUGUGAUUUUUGAUGUAAUUAGGAUGGAAUUUCCUUUGUUUCGUUGUGAAAUUAAUCUUGGUGUUGAUAUAAUACUUUUUUUAUUGUCUACGAGGUGAAGAAGGCAGAGAAUUAAUUCUCCAUUAGCUUGAAGCUUUUAUCGAUCAUUAUAUUGAAACAGCUUCUGAGGUAUGCUGAUACUUUUUUUUUUUAAACCAUCGAAUAUCAAUUACUGGUGGUGUGAUUCUUAUAAAUGUGGAUGUAUUAGGGUUUUCCAAGGGGCUUAAUACUCUAGACUAGCUAUUAUUACUGAGAUUUUGUAGUGAGGGUAGAAACUUAUUGAAACAUAUAACUUCAUAAUAAGAACCGGAUUUUUUUGUUUUCAAAUUGCAAUUGACCUUGUAAGUUGUUCCUAAUAAUAACUACAGAAAGUGAGGAAUUGUUUGGACAUAUGGAUUUGUUUAACACUGGUAUAAAGUUGCGGCAAUUACUUCUACCUUUUUGCCGCUGAACUUUGUGUUGCUUAGAGAAGGGAAUGAUUGAGUGAGGGCUCAUCACAUUACUACUUGCUAUGGAGUUGUUUGUUACUAUUGAGCUGAGGCAGAUGAAAGAGAUAUUAUCAACAUGAGGUUCAAAUUUUGGCUUGUAUUUGAAAAAAAAUUCCAAAAGCCUUGUUCCUAUGUAGAUUCUAUAGAAUCUUCCUCUAAUUAUGCAGGUGAUUUUACUUAAGACUGGUAGUAUUGCUGUGAAUCAACAACCAAAACCCCAUUCCAUGCCUGAUUCUAUAUCCAAAAAUCUGUAAUUAUAUGAAAGGUUUGAUUGAUUUGGAAUUCAGCAGUCGGUGAGUGUUUUACGAUUGUGGUUCUUGAUUGUGUUUAACUGGUAAGUCUGAUUUAUAUUAUAUAUAUGUUUUAAUUUCCCUCUUUUUUUUUUUUUUUUUUUUUUUUUGGACUGCUAAGGUUUAGUCCUAUGGUUUUGGGUUUGGUUUAUAGCUCUAGCAGUUUGGGAUUGAUUAGGUUUGGAGUCAAAGCUGUCGAUGUCUCUUUACAGUUGGAUUGAUUAUCAAAAUUAUGUAAGGCUUCACUAUUAGAUUAGUGGAAUUCAUUGUUUGGUGCUUGUAGGAUAGUUCUAUUGAUUUUCACUUGUGUGUCCAACUUAUUUAUUAAGAAAUUAUAACUAGUACAAUACUAUUAGCUGCUUUGGAUUACAGGUGUGAGAAAGUAAUAGGUUGUGGACAAGUACAUUAAUUAAGAUAUAGAUAGUGUCUCAUAUUCGUAUUAUGGAGUUUGCUUUUGCUAGCACUCAUUCUCUUUUUCAUUUUAGGUUUGGUUUUUGUUUUAUUUUACUUUUUUUUCCUUUUGGGUUUGAAUCAGGAGGCCAAGUGUUUUAAUAGAGGUGGUAGUAUAAUCGCUUUUUGGUUUGUCUCGAUUGUUUGCUUUUGGGAUUGGUCGUUCGUUUUGUAGGAUGAAGUGUUUAAUGUAGUUUUGGUAAUGGUGGUGCGGUGGUUGUAUGACUUGUAUCAGAAGAAAGGUAACGAAAUUGCGAUUUUAGUUGAUAUAUUUGGUCAGUUUUAAUGUUUUUUGUUAAGGAAGUGUUAAAAAUAAAUAGUGAUUUCAGUUUGAGAGGGAAGUCUGAUUUGGUUAGUGAUAUUAAGUAUUUUGCUUUAUUUUUGAGAGUUUGGUUAUCAUGUUUUUUGGGUUUAUAUUAGCAGAUUUGCAUUUUUUUUUUCAUGGGUUUUCUUCAUUCUUUAAUAAAGUUUAAUUGUGGAGAGUUGUAGAUUUUUCUUAUUGAGAUUUUUUAUAGGGACUAAACAGAAUUGAUGCAUACGGAGUAUGAUUUAUCAAUUUCAAUUCAUAACAAACAUAUGUGCUGAUGUUGAUGUGAAAAACUUCCAAAAUGUCUUGCUCCUACACUUUUUGGGUGAAAACUAACUGAGACACAAAAGGCAAGCAUUUAUAGAGACAUGGAGGCUCUAACAAGACUCAAUCUGUAAAAAAUUUAAGCACAUUUUACUUGAACUGCUUAUAUGUUACUGAGAUGCUACUGAACUUUUCAGCCCAAAGAGACUCACAUAUGCCUGACUGUGGAUUCAUAUACACAUUAUCAAAACCAAUUGAAGAUCAUGCAAGCUAGUCAAUCUGAUAUUCAUUAAAUUUAAUUCCAGUUUGACCAUUUCUUUAAUAAUUUACUCUGAACAACUAUUUGUUUUGCUUGUUUUGCAGCCCGACAAUUAUGCUUGCCCUCAGUGUAGAGCACCAAAGAAGAGGUUUGCAUGCUAUGAUGUCAACACAGCUAAGGCAGUAGGUGGUGCUUUACUGCCUGUCGAUAACUUCAAGUAAUAAAAGGGAAAAGAACGAGAAAGGAUAUUAAUGUUAUAAUUUAAAACGAGAAUUGAAAAUAAGAUUGAUGGCAAUGUUAUUAUAUUGGACAAAACUGAGAAUUUUUUUUUAUUUCUUUUUAGGGGUUUUAGUGUUUGGCUCAUGGAAGCCAUUAUUGAGCAAGCUUACUUAUUCUUUCUCUUACUCUACAUUCAUCUUUAACAAGAACAACCCAUACACUCUCAAUAACAAUUCAGUUUAAUGUGUUAAGCUUAA
Molecule: long non-coding RNA, 2855 nt
Organism: Chenopodium quinoa (quinoa)
Lineage: Eukaryota; Viridiplantae; Streptophyta; Magnoliopsida; Caryophyllales; Amaranthaceae
Exons: 2
Source: RefSeq, a predicted model, not a curated record